This 988-nucleotide long non-coding RNA is filed under the name Arabidopsis lyrata. RNAcentral's name for it is "long non-coding RNA (ALYR_LNC002981)". Lineage: Eukaryota; Viridiplantae; Streptophyta; Magnoliopsida; Brassicales; Brassicaceae. The record is from RNAcentral.
AGUGGCCAGUUGGAGGACAAAACAACAAUACACUAUAAUAAUCAAAACACGAAAGAAAAGAUUACAAACAUCGAUGAUUCAUAAGCUUUCCGUCAUUUAGUGGUAAAGCACAAUGCUGUCCUUGAUUUAAUUAUAUUCACUAAUUAAUCAUCGUAUAUACAACUUUAUCAAUGAUAAAUCCGAAAAUGGAAAUGCAGGCAUAUACAGCAAAACAAACGGGUUUAAAAUCACUCAUAGAAAUAUAUCAGUCUAUGAGGUCAACUGAUUGAUAAGGUACGAGGAUUGUAGAUUUCCACGCAAUUAUUAUACCUAAUACAUAGUAUUUGAUUCUGUAAACCACAAUUUAGAUAUCAAUGACAUUAUUGUAUGUUGGUUCCUUUUUCUCUCCAAAAAAGUACUCCAAACAACACAGUUAAAACGAAAACUUAAAGAUACAAAUGGAAAAUCAUUGAAACCAACUAAACAAAAAGAGUUAACCUUACGAUUUAAAAAAAAAAAAAACUUGGAUUCGAAGCUAGAGUAGGUUUAGUUAUUUCUAAUCAAUCCAAAAAUCAAGCUAAAAAUAUUAUUUCAUAGUGCUAGAAAAAUAUUAUAAUCAAUCCACCAAAUACUAAAAUCAAGAAGAAGAAAAAUUACAAUUUAGGGCUACCAGUAACAGCGUAGGAUUUGCUACGAGGAUACAAAAGAUCAGAGACUUUCUUAGUCUUCUUCAUCUUCGGAUUCACAGAGCCUUCCUCUGUUUCUUCCUCUUCCUCUAUCUUCGCCAUCCCAACACUCGAGCUCUUAGGUAACCCUCCUUGCUUCUGUUGCCUCUGUUGUUGCAGCUUCUCUUGUAACAACAUGUCUAUCUCAUUCUUGUGCCCUAAACUCCUAACUGACGCAGCUCUCACUAGCUCGCUGUAAUCUUCAUCUAUCCCGAAAUCGGUGGCUCUCCGGGAUGAAGCAGAGGAGGAGAAGGCGGCGGAGGAGGAGCUCCGGCUUCUAGGAA